GACAGAGGUGCCGAGCGUUAGGCGGAAUCACUGGGCUUAAAGCGUGUGUAGGCGGACUUCUAAGUACCUUGUGAAAUCCCAUGGCUCAACCAUGGAACUGCUUGGUAUACUGGUUGUCUUGAGCCACUUAGGGGCAGUCGGAACAGAUGGUGGAGCGGUGAAAUGCGUAGAUAUCGGUAGGAACACCAGUGGCGAAGGCGGUCUCCUGGGGCAUUCUUGACGCUGAGGCGCGAAAGCUGGGGGAGCAAACGGG
This 253-nucleotide ribosomal RNA is filed under the name uncultured bacterium. RNAcentral's name for it is "partial 16S ribosomal RNA". It matches the Rfam family "Bacterial small subunit ribosomal RNA", at positions 524 to 776 of the family's 1533-position model. The record is from RNAcentral.